This 38-nucleotide non-coding RNA is filed under the name Clostridium polynesiense. RNAcentral's name for it is "Selenocysteine insertion sequence 4". It matches the Rfam family "Selenocysteine insertion sequence 4". Lineage: Bacteria; Bacillati; Bacillota; Clostridia; Eubacteriales; Clostridiaceae. The record is from RNAcentral.
GGAACCUGUACACGUUGCGGAGCAACGCUAGUUAAAGA